Molecule: ribosomal RNA, 253 nt
Filed under: uncultured bacterium
Lineage: Bacteria
Description: partial 16S ribosomal RNA
Rfam family: Bacterial small subunit ribosomal RNA
Source: RNAcentral
UACGUAGGCAGCAAGCGUUGUUCGGAGUUACUGGGCGUAAAGGGUGUGUAGGCGGUUGUUUAAGUUUGGUGUGAAAUCUCCCGGCUCAACUUGGAGGGUGCGCCGAAUACUGAAUGACUAGAGUGCGGGAGAGGUAAGUGGAAUUCCUGGUGUAGCGGUGAAAUGCGUAGAGAUCGGGAGGAACACCAGUGGCGAAGGCGGCUACCUGGAGCAGAACUGACACUGAGGCACGAAAGCGUGGGGAGCAAACAGG